RNAcentral lists this ribosomal RNA (1394 nucleotides) under uncultured bacterium. RNAcentral's name for it is "bacterial SSU rRNA". It matches the Rfam family "Bacterial small subunit ribosomal RNA". The record is from RNAcentral.
AGAGUUUGAUCCUGGCUCAGGAUGAACUUUGGCGGCGUGCCUAACACAUGCAAGUCGAACGAAGCACUGCAACCGGAAUUCUUCGGAAGGAAAGAUGCAGUGACUGAGUGGCGGACGGGUGAGUAACGCGUGGGCAACCUGCCUUACACAGGGGGACAACAGCUGGAAACGGCUGCUAAUACCGCAUAUGCGCACAGGGCCGCAUGGCCUGGUGCGGAAAACUCCGGUGGUGUAAGAUGGGCCCGCGUCUGAUUAGGUAGUUGGCGGGGUAACGGCCCACCAAGCCGACGAUCAGUAGCCGGCCUGAGAGGGUGGACGGCCACAUUGGGACUGAGACACGGCCCAAACUCAUACGGGAGGCAGCAGUGGGGGAUAUUGCACAAUGGGCGCAAGCAUGAUGCAGCGACGCCGCGUGAGCGAAGAAGUAUUUCGGUAUGUAAAGCUCUAUCAGCAGGGAAGAAAAUGACGGGUACCUGACUAAGAAGUUCCGGCUAAAUACGUGCCAGCAGCCGCGGUAAUACGUAUGGAGCAAGCGUUAUCCGGAUUUACUGGGUGUAAAGGGAGCGUAGGCGGCCCUCUAAGUCUGAUGUGAAAAUUUGGGGCUCAACCCCAAACGUGCAUUGGAAACUGCAGGGCUUGAGUGCCGGAGAGGCAGGCGGAAUUCCUAGUGUAGCGGUGAAAUGCGUAGAUAUUAGGAGGAACACCAGUGGCGAAGGCGGCCUGCUGGACGGUAACUGACGCUGAGGCUCGAAAGCGUGGGGAGCAAACAGGAUUAGAUACCCUGGUAGUCCACGCCGUAAACGAUGAAAAAUGGGUGUCGGGGAGCAAAGCUUCCCGGUGCCGCCGCAACCGCAUUAAGCAUUCCACCUGGGGAGUACGUUCGCAAGAAUGAAACUCAAAGGAAUUGACGGGGGACCCGCACAAGCGGUGGAGCAUGUGGUUUAAAUUCGAAGCAACGCGAAGAACCUUACCAAGUCUUGACAUCCUUCUGAAAGGCCCGUAACGGGGCCCGGCCUUCGGGACAGAAGAGACAGGUGGUGCAUGGUUGUCGUCAGCUCGUGUCGUGAGAUGUUGGGUUAAGUCCCGCAACGAGCGCAACCCCUAUCCCCAGUAGCCAGCAGUAAGAUGGGCACUCUGUGGAGACUGCCAGGGAGAACCUGGAGGAAGGCGGGGAUGACGUCAAAUCAUCAUGCCCCUUAUGAUUUGGGCUACACACGUGCUACAAUGGCGUAAACAGAGGGAGGCGAAGGAGCGAUCCGGAGCAAACCCCAGAAAUAACGUCCCAGUUCGGAUUGCAGGCUGCAACCAGCCUGCAUGAAGCUGGAAUCGCUAGUAAUCGCGGAUCAGAAUGCCGCGGUGAAUACGUUCCCGGGUCUUGCAAACACCGCCCGUCA